Molecule: transfer RNA, 65 nt
Filed under: Podagrion sp. JY-2018
Lineage: Eukaryota; Metazoa; Arthropoda; Insecta; Hymenoptera; Torymidae
Description: tRNA-Gly
Source: RNAcentral
AUUUAUAUAGUAUAAUGAGUACAGUUAAUUUCCAAUUAAUAAGUUUAAGUAUUUUAAUAUAAAUA